This 672-nucleotide long non-coding RNA is filed under the name Canis lupus familiaris (dog). RNAcentral's name for it is "lncRNA (ENSCAFG00040007029.1)". Lineage: Eukaryota; Metazoa; Chordata; Mammalia; Carnivora; Canidae. The record is from RNAcentral.
AUGUGCACGACUUUAGGGAGCUGCCCUCCGCGUGACGUGCGCCAACUUUCCGCCAAUGGCGCGCGGGCAGCCCCGAGGGCCCGAGCGCCCCGCCCCGCCCGCCCCGCCCGCCCCGCCCGGCCCGGCCCGGCCCGGCCCGGCCCGGCCCUCGGCUCUCCCGCCCGCUCGCGGGGCCGGCCCGGGCGGGGCCCCGCCGCUGCCCGGCCGCCCCCGAGGCCCGCGGCUGGGGCUGGCGAGCUCCCCCGCCGCGCCCGGGGCUUGGCGCUCCCUGGGGGCCGCUACCUGUGCGGCCCCCAGCACUCGGAAGAAGCAGCGACAGGCAGGGACAGGCACACGCGCACCCCGACAGACAGGCUCAGACUUCUGCGGAGACGCGCCCGUCCAGCGCACCCCCCAAGCACACUCGUGCGCGCGCACACAGAAGCCCACGCGCACAAAGUCACCCCUGCCCAGCGGAGGCCGGGCCAGGAAGCCAACACAGGAGCGCCCAGAGCACAGAACCAGGUAAACAGGACGCUGAGCGCUCACGUGGAGGCAGGCAGAGAGCCACAGACUCGGACGACCCCCUCCAGUGUUGCUCUCAGAUUUCUAGAAUAUACUGUUAUGGCCACAGAGUUCUUCCUCAUGACUACCCUUCUCUGGUGAAGAAGCUGAAAUACAAUUUAACCAAAC